GGGUUGUGAGGUUAAGCGACUAAGCGUACACGGUGGAUGCCCUGGCAGUCAGAGGCGAUGAAGGACGUGCUAAUCUGCGAUAAGCGUCGGUAAGGUGAUAUGAACCGUUAUAACCGGCGAUUUCCGAAUGGGGAAACCCAGUGUGUUUCGACACACUAUCAUUAACUGAAUCCAUAGGUUAAUGAGGCGAACCGGGGGAACUGAAACAUCUAAGUACCCCGAGGAAAAGAAAUCAACCGAGAUUCCCCCAGUAGCGGCGAGCGAACGGGGAGCAGCCCAGAGCCUGAAUCAGUGUGUGUGUUAGUGGAAGCGUCUGGAAAGGCGCGCGAUACAGGGUGACAGCCCCGUACACAAAAAUGCACAUGCUGUGAGCUCGAUGAGUAGGGCGGGACACGUGGUAUCCUGUCUGAAUAUGGGGGGACCAUCCUCCAAGGCUAAAUACUCCUGACUGACCGAUAGUGAACCAGUACCGUGAGGGAAAGGCGAAAAGAACCCCGGCGAGGGGAGUGAAAAAGAACCUGAAACCGUGUACGUACAAGCAGUGGGAGCACGCUUCGGCGUGUGACUGCGUACCUUUUGUAUAAUGGGUCAGCGACUUAUAUUCUGUAGCAAGGUUAACCGAAUAGGGGAGCCGAAGGGAAACCGAGUCUUAACUGGGCGUUAAGUUGCAGGGUAUAGACCCGAAACCCGGUGAUCUAGCCAUGGGCAGGUUGAAGGUUGGGUAACACUAACUGGAGGACCGAACCGACUAAUGUUGAAAAAUUAGCGGAUGACUUGUGGCUGGGGGUGAAAGGCCAAUCAAACCGGGAGAUAGCUGGUUCUCCCCGAAAGCUAUUUAGGUAGCGCCUCGUGAAUUCAUCUCCGGGGGUAGAGCACUGUUUCGGCAAGGGGGUCAUCCCGACUUACCAACCCGAUGCAAACUGCGAAUACCGGAGAAUGUUAUCACGGGAGACACACGGCGGGUGCUAACGUCCGUCGUGAAGAGGGAAACAACCCAGACCGCCAGCUAAGGUCCCAAAGUCAUGGUUAAGUGGGAAACGAUGUGGGAAGGCCCAGACAGCCAGGAUGUUGGCUUAGAAGCAGCCAUCAUUUAAAGAAAGCGUAAUAGCUCACUGGUCGAGUCGGCCUGCGCGGAAGAUGUAACGGGGCUAAACCAUGCACCGAAGCUGCGGCAGCGACGCUGAUGCGUUGUUGGGUAGGGGAGCGUUCUGUAAGCCUGCGAAGGUGUGCUGUGAGGCAUGCUGGAGGUAUCAGAAGUGCGAAUGCUGACAUAAGUAACGAUAAAGCGGGUGAAAAGCCCGCUCGCCGGAAGACCAAGGGUUCCUGUCCAACGUUAAUCGGGGCAGGGUGAGUCGACCCCUAAGGCGAGGCCGAAAGGCGUAGUCGAUGGGAAACAGGUUAAUAUUCCUGUACUUGGUGUUACUGCGAAGGGGGACGGAGAAGGCUAUGUUGGCCGGGCGACGGUUGUCCCGGUUUAAGCGUGUAGGCUGGUUUUCCAGGCAAAUCCGGAAAAUCAAGGCUGAGGCGUGAUGACGAGGCACUACGGUGCUGAAGCAACAAAUGCCCUGCUUCCAGGAAAAGCCUCUAAGCAUCAGGUAACAUCAAAUCGUACCCCAAACCGACACAGGUGGUCAGGUAGAGAAUACCAAGGCGCUUGAGAGAACUCGGGUGAAGGAACUAGGCAAAAUGGUGCCGUAACUUCGGGAGAAGGCACGCUGAUAUGUAGGUGAAGUCCCUCGCGGAUGGAGCUGAAAUCAGUCGAAGAUACCAGCUGGCUGCAACUGUUUAUUAAAAACACAGCACUGUGCAAACACGAAAGUGGACGUAUACGGUGUGACGCCUGCCCGGUGCCGGAAGGUUAAUUGAUGGGGUCAGCGCAAGCGAAGCUCUUGAUCGAAGCCCCGGUAAACGGCGGCCGUAACUAUAACGGUCCUAAGGUAGCGAAAUUCCUUGUCGGGUAAGUUCCGACCUGCACGAAUGGCGUAAUGAUGGCCAGGCUGUCUCCACCCGAGACUCAGUGAAAUUGAACUCGCUGUGAAGAUGCAGUGUACCCGCGGCAAGACGGAAAGACCCCGUGAACCUUUACUAUAGCUUGACACUGAACAUUGAGCCUUGAUGUGUAGGAUAGGUGGGAGGCUUUGAAGUGUGGACGCCAGUCUGCAUGGAGCCGACCUUGAAAUACCACCCUUUAAUGUUUGAUGUUCUAACGUUGACCCGUAAUCCGGGUUGCGGACAGUGUCUGGUGGGUAGUUUGACUGGGGCGGUCUCCUCCUAAAGAGUAACGGAGGAGCACGAAGGUUGGCUAAUCCUGGUCGGACAUCAGGAGGUUAGUGCAAUGGCAUAAGCCAGCUUGACUGCGAGCGUGACGGCGCGAGCAGGUGCGAAAGCAGGUCAUAGUGAUCCGGUGGUUCUGAAUGGAAGGGCCAUCGCUCAACGGAUAAAAGGUACUCCGGGGAUAACAGGCUGAUACCGCCCAAGAGUUCAUAUCGACGGCGGUGUUUGGCACCUCGAUGUCGGCUCAUCACAUCCUGGGGCUGAAGUAGGUCCCAAGGGUAUGGCUGUUCGCCAUUUAAAGUGGUACGCGAGCUGGGUUUAGAACGUCGUGAGACAGUUCGGUCCCUAUCUGCCGUGGGCGCUGGAGAACUGAGGGGGGCUGCUCCUAGUACGAGAGGACCGGAGUGGACGCAUCACUGGUGUUCGGGUUGUCAUGCCAAUGGCACUGCCCGGUAGCUAAAUGCGGAAGAGAUAAGUGCUGAAAGCAUCUAAGCACGAAACUUGCCCCGAGAUGAGUUCUCCCUGACCCUUUAAGGGUCCUGAAGGAACGUUGAAGACGACGACGUUGAUAGGCCGGGUGUGUAAGCGCAGCGAUGCGUUGAGCUAACCGGUACUAAUGAACCGUGAGGCUUAACCUUACAACGCCGAAGCUGUU
RNAcentral lists this ribosomal RNA (2929 nucleotides) under Escherichia coli. RNAcentral's name for it is "23S ribosomal RNA". It matches the Rfam family "Bacterial large subunit ribosomal RNA". Lineage: Bacteria; Pseudomonadati; Pseudomonadota; Gammaproteobacteria; Enterobacterales; Enterobacteriaceae. The record is from RNAcentral.